RNAcentral lists this long non-coding RNA (526 nucleotides) under Salvia miltiorrhiza (redroot sage). RNAcentral's name for it is "long non-coding RNA (SMIL_LNC003212)". Lineage: Eukaryota; Viridiplantae; Streptophyta; Magnoliopsida; Lamiales; Lamiaceae. The record is from RNAcentral.
GCGGUGCGACCACCUUGUGUGUGAACAGUGAGGUCCCGAAUUCAAACCCCACUGCUCCCUCUCCCCAACUCCCCCAAGUCAAAAAAAAUAAAAUAAAAAAUCCUACUUGUAUUAAUCCAAGACAUGUUAUUUGUAUUACAUAUUAUAUGAGUUUAGAUUAGGAGUAAUUUAAUAGAAAAUGUGGACGAUGCUAUAUUAUAGCUAGGAAUAUAAAUACUCUUUGUAUUAAUAAAUUAUAUGCUAUUUGUAUUAAUGUAUAUUAGUUAUAUUGUCCUAAAUGGGACACCAAGCGGUGCGACCUCCUGUAAGUAAACAGUAAGGUCUCGGGUUCAAACUCUACUGGUCCCCCUCCUCCCUAGCUCCGCUAAGUAAAAAAAAAAUACUUUAAAAGAAAAAUGUACUCCCUCUGUCCCAAACGAAAUGUCCUGUUUUCCUUUUUGGGCUGUCCCAAACGAAAUGUCAUGUUUCCUUUUUUGGCAAUACACUCUCUCUAUACUUAAUAUUUAAAUAAUUUCAACCAACCCAC